GACGGAGGGUGCAAGCGUUGUUCGGAAUUACUGGGCGUAAAGGGCUCGUAGGCGGCCAACUAAGUCAGACGUGAAAUCCCUCAGCUUAACUGGGGAACUGCGUCUGAUACUGGAUGGCUUGGAUUUGGGAGAGGGAUGCGGAAUUCCAGGUGUAGCGGUGAAAUGCGUAGAUAUCUGGAGGAACACCGGUGGCGAAGGCGGCAUCCUGGACCAACACUGACGCUGAGGAGCGAAAGCCAGGGGAGCAAACGGG
Molecule: ribosomal RNA, 253 nt
Filed under: uncultured bacterium
Lineage: Bacteria
Description: partial 16S ribosomal RNA
Rfam family: Bacterial small subunit ribosomal RNA
Source: RNAcentral